Molecule: ribosomal RNA, 487 nt
Filed under: uncultured bacterium
Lineage: Bacteria
Description: partial 16S ribosomal RNA
Rfam family: Bacterial small subunit ribosomal RNA
Source: RNAcentral
GACGAACGCUGGCGGCGUGCUUAACACAUGCAAGUCGAACGGAAAGGCCCCCAUCUUGGUGCGGGUGCUCGAGUGGCGAACGGGUGAGUAACACGUGGGUGAUCUGCCCUGUACUUCGGGAUAAGCUUGGGAAACUGGGUCUAAUACCGGAUAGGACCAUGGUUUAGUGUCUCAUGGUGGAAAGAUUAUUGUUUUGGUGCAGGAUGAGCUCGCGGCCUAUCAGCUUGUUGGUGGGGUAAUGGCCUACCAAGGCGUCGACGGGUAGCCGGCCUGAGAGGGUGGACGGCCACAUUGGGACUGAGAUACGGCCCAGACUCCUACGGGAGGCAGCAGUGGGGAAUAUUGCACAAUGGGCGCAAGCCUGAUGCAGCGACGCCGCGUGGGGGAUGACGGCCUUCGGGUUGUAAACUCCUUUCGUUAGGGACGAAGCCACGCUUUUGGGGUGUGGUGACGGUACCUUUGUUAAGAAGCACCGGCUAACUACGUG